GACGGUGUGGCCGCAGGAAUGGCAUAGGUUUGCAAAACCGAAGAUACCGGUUCGAGUCCGGUCACUGUCA
Molecule: transfer RNA, 70 nt
Filed under: Lachnospiraceae bacterium
Lineage: Bacteria; Bacillati; Bacillota; Clostridia; Lachnospirales; Lachnospiraceae
Description: tRNA-Cys
Rfam family: tRNA
About the family: Transfer RNA (tRNA) molecules are approximately 80 nucleotides in length. Their secondary structure includes four short double-helical elements and three loops (D, anti-codon, and T loops).
Source: RNAcentral